UACGUAGGGUGCAAGCGUUGUCCGGAAUUAUUGGGCGUAAAGAGCUCGUAGGCGGUCUGUCGCGUCUGCUGUGAAAACUCAGGGCUUAACCCUGAGCUUGCAGUGGGUACGGGCAGACUAGAGUGCGGUAGGGGAGACUGGAAUUCCUGGUGUAGCGGUGAAAUGCGUAGAUAUCAGGAGGAACACCGGUGGCGAAGGCGGCUCUCUGGACCACAACUGACGCUGAGGCGCGAAAGCUAGGGGAGCAAACAGG
RNAcentral lists this ribosomal RNA (253 nucleotides) under uncultured bacterium. RNAcentral's name for it is "partial 16S ribosomal RNA". It matches the Rfam family "Bacterial small subunit ribosomal RNA", at positions 524 to 776 of the family's 1533-position model. The record is from RNAcentral.